GGGUUCAAACUGUAGAACCCAGUUCCUACAAUUGAAAAUAAAAAUGGAUUGUAUCAAACAAAACUAUGCUACAUUUUAUCUCUGGGACCCUCAGAAUGACAAAUCAGAGCAAGAUUACUGAAUGUAAGUACAUUAUUUACCUUCAGAGGUGAAUGUACGAAACCAGUUUCCGUGAUAAGUUUUUUAGCAUGGUCUUUUUUCACUGUAAUGGCUACUGUAAAUUGGACAGUGCAGAUAGAUUAACAAUCAUUUAAGCUUUCUGCACAUAUAAGACAUGUCUAUGUCCUGGAAAGUUUGCUGUUACUAACAAGUCAUGCUAAUCACAUUAGCGCACGUUUACUCAACCAUCCCUGUUAGGGACACCGAUCCUGUAGAGGUUUUAAUUUGAUCACCCUGCAAUACAGGAACAUUUUAACUUUAAAAAGGCUUUUGAAGUUUGUAAUUUCCACUUUCAAAUUUCAAACUUGAUUUUCACUUAUGAAAAAUGUAUCAACCCCUACAUAAAUGUCCAUGAAUUAUAAUCCACAUAAUAAUUCACUUUUUCUGUUGCUGCAGGAUUAUUUUCCUGCUGUAGCAAACUGGCACAUACUACAUAUGUACAAACAAAUGCAUAACAACAGUUCAUAAAAUAUGUAUUGAGCCUCUAUGAGGCACAGAGGAAUUAGUUGUAUUUUUCCAUUUCACAUAAAAAGAAAGUGAGAGCUUGAGCAACAGGUCAAUGGGUCUAAUGAAUAGAUCUACUACCUUGAUAAAAGGUUGGAUUUGACAGAACUUUCAAGCCUGACACAUAGUACAGUUAGUGGACAAACCAUUAGGAACACCUUCCUAAUAUUGAGUUGCACCCCCUUUCGCCGUCAGAACAGCCUCAAUUCGUCUGGGUAUGGACUCUACAAGGUGUCGGAAGUGUUCCACAGGGAUGCUGGCCCAUGUUGACUCCAAUGCUUCCCACAGUUGUGUCAAGUUGGCUGGAUGUCCUUUGGGUGGUGAACCAUUCUUGAUACACACGGGAAAGUGUUGAGCAUGAAAGUUCUUGACACACUCUAACCAGUAUGCCUGGUACCUACUACCAUGUUCAAAGGCACUUAAAUAUUUUGUAUUGCCCAUUCACCCUCUGAAUGGUUCAAAUACACAAUCCAUGUCUCAAUUGUCUCAAGGCUUAACAAUCAUUCUUUAACCUUUCUCCUCCCUUUCAUCUACACUGAUGGAAGUGGAUUUAAUAAGGGAUCAUAGCUUUCGCCUGGAUUCACCUGGUCAGUCCAUGUCAUGGAAGGAGCAGGUGUUCCUAACAUUUGUGUAGUCAGUGUAUAUUUUAUAUACCACUAUACUGCCUUACCAUGCAAAAAGGCAGUAACUGCUAAUUUGGUCAAAAAUUGGUUAAUGUCAUUUUAUCUACAUUAAAUACAUGCUUAAUCAUGUGGACAAGUAUCCUGCCUCUAUUGUAUUGUGUUCUGGAGAAAAUGGGGGUCAUGUUAGCAGUAACUGCAUAAAGUUACUUUGAAACCAAGGUAAAUAAAAUACAUUUUUCUCAGUUCCACUCUAUGAGCAGUUACUGCCAUUUUGCUUGGUAGGGCAGUAUAGCUCCUAAAAUGUCUUGGUUUUACUCAAUAAUUGAUAUUUCUGUUGAAGUUGUCAUUGCACAAAAUUCUGUCUGGUGAGAUUUGGACAGCAUUCAACCGUUUUAAAUUGAAGCAUCAGAGAGCUGUUUUCAACUCUUCAAAACAGAUGGUUCUAUGCUGCAUUGUAGAGGAAAAUGGCAAUUGGUGAGUCAAGUGUGCUCGAAAGUCAUCACAUUUUAUGCUGAAUUGAUGUUGAUGUCUUUUUUUAGCAUGAAGGAGUUUGUAUUUCAGUUUAAACAGCUUCCUCAAUCAAGUUGAAUCACUCCUGCCAAGGUGUCUCAAAUGGCUUAUUGCUUAAUCAUGUGGAAGUGACAAUAGCCCAACCCUGUUCUCUCGCUCUCUUUCUCUCUCUCUCUGUUUCUCUCUCUCUCUGGCUGCCUUCUGCGUUUAGACAGGCAGCCCAAUUCUGAUCUUUUUUUCACUAAUUGGUCUUUUGACCAAUCAGAUCAAGAUCUGAAACAGAGCUGAUGUGAAAAGAUCAGAUGUGAUUGGUCAAAAGACCAAUUAGUGGAAAAAUAUCAAAAUUGGGCAGCCUGUGUAAAUUCUCUCUCUCUCUCUCUCUCUCUCUCUCUCUCUCUCCAUAUUUUCAUUUUUUUCUCUUGGUAAGUUUGGAGAAGCUAUUAAAGAAAUAGCAAAUGGCUUCUUAAGUGACAUUUGCUGACAUUCAAUGAAGUGCAUUUAUCAGUGUAGCACAGUUCACCUCGGUGAAUUAAAUCCAUUUGUGCUGGUGGGUCAGAGUGGUUCGCCACGCUCUCUCUCUCCCCCUUUAAAUUGAUGCCCAGCGAAUGGGAAAUGGCAAGGUGGCGCAUGGCUCUGCAGCUGCUCUCAAAUGUCACGCUGGAAAAUCUUUAAUGGGCUAAGUGUAGCCUUUCCGGCCUCAACUUGUCAGGUAAUCAGACGUCUCUGUAGCUCAUCUCCCCUCCCUCCCUCCCUCCCUCCUGCCCUCUCCCACAUCUCUCUGGCUCCCCCCGAGGCCUCGACACACUACUAAUUACCAGCAAUACCAAUUGAAGCGAGGGGGCCGUGAAACAGGUAGACUUCUUUUAAAGGAGAGAUAUUGGAGCCGCCAUCUCCAUGGAUGCAUAUUAUUAGCCUGGUUAUGUAUCUGUUUUAUCCAGAUGCUCCCUGUGUGGAAUCCUGGGGCUGUUGAUGGUGACUGAUAUUAAGGAGUGUUUUUAUUCUCUGCCUUGGAACUUUGUGAACCUGUUGCUCCUUUUCCCUGGGGAACUCUUAUGUGGUUGAGCAGGAAGAGCUGAUAGUGGCCUUGCUCACUAGAAUCAAUACAACUACAUAUUUAGAAAAAUGUAAGCCUCAAACUGACAUAGGGUCAUGUCUAAAGACAAAAGGACAUAGGGUCAUGUCUAAAGACAAACUAACACAGGGUUAUGUCUAAAGACAAAGUGACGUCAAAACUUGCAUAAUCGACUCCCGUCUGUGUAAUGUUUGUUCCUUAUAUAUUGACAAACCGGGGUGCAGGUUUAACUACUUUUAUUGAACAUAUUCUUCAGCUAGAAAACUCCAUGUUUAGCCAUGCAAGGCAUUCUUCAACCACCCGCCUAGCCUGCUGGGUAACGUAGUCUAAAUGUUAUUAACACAUAACAACACAUCUUCUUUCCUUUAAAAGAAAACUACUUUUCUAUGUAACUACACAUGUCACAUCACAUUUGUUUACUCAACCUGCAUAACAUGAAAUUUUCAAUAACACACAUUUCUUUCCCCCAAUUUUUUAAAUAUAUUUUUAUAUAUUAUUUUUUCAACUGAAUACAGUCUGUCCAACAAUACUCUAUUGUGGCUCUAUUUCUUUUCACAUAAACAAAACAUUCAGUCCAGGUGCCCCUUUUCUGUAUUUUUAUUUUAUUUUAUUUUUUAGCAAUUCUCAAUAAGCCUUUCAGGGGCUCUGACAGUCCUUUUUGGUCGUUCUGCUGAAGUGCUUCUUGAAACAGUUGGACAGCGUUCAUUGUCAGUCAGGGUGUUUUGACUGAAUUGUCCAUUUCUAAAGGCAUUUGACACUUCAGCAGUAUCCUCCUGAUGAUCCUCAGUCCCUUGAGUGUAUGGCUGAAGCCUUAGAUCCACUCUGUUUCGUCUCAGUUGGGAUCCAUGCUCUGUUUGGAUCUCAUAGGAUCCAAACAUAGGAUUCAUAGGAUUCUCUCUGCACACACCCUUGCGGCAUCCAGGUUCCUGUAGUGAUGUCUCGGAGUCGUACAUCUCCAGGUUUCAGUUCAGGUAAGUGUCUUGCACUUUUGUCGUGUCGCUGUUUUUGUUUGUCUUUCUGUUUUUCCUUCACGAGUUUGACUUUGUGAGCACCUCUGGGUGUUAGCAAGUCCUCAUGGAUGGGUAGGUUGGUUCUGAUGCGACGUCCCAUCAACAUUUGUGCAGGUGAAAGUCCAUUCUGCAGCGGUGCGCUGCGGUAGAUCAUCAGAUGUUUUAGGAAAUCCACCUUUCCAUCGAGUGCCUUUUUCAUCAGACCUUUGACAAUUUUGACUGAACUCUCUGCUAAGCCGUUGGACCUUGGGUAGUUGGGGCAGGAGGUGUUGUGUCGGAAUCCCCAGUCAUUAGCGAACGAUCGGAAUUCGGAACUUGAGAACUGCGGGCCAUUGUCCGAGUACAGUUCAGACGCAACCCCAUGUCUUGCAAAGACUGAUUCUAGGUAGGUGAUUACAGCUUUGCUGGAGGUAGUUGGCAGUGUUGCUACUUCAGGGUAGUUUGAGUAGUAGUCGGUAACAACAAUGUGACUUUUGCCAUUGCAGUCAAAAAGGUAAACUCCAACUUUGUAGUAGGGUCUGUUGGGUACUGGAUGAGGCAUUAGCGGCUCUGCUUGCUGCUUUGGCCUGUAGGUCAAACAUAGUUCACAUGAAGCAGUGGUCUGGCUGACUUCCUGGUUCAUUCUUGGCUAGUACAUUACUUCUCGUGCUCGUCGUUUGCAUUUUUCCUCACCCAAGUGGCCCUCAUGUAUUUUCUGUAGCAUUUCUUUGCGUAGUGUCAUGGGAAUGACAAUCUUGUUGCCUUUGAACACUAUGUCAUCCACAACGGUGAGCUCUGCUCUGCCCAUACAGUGAUCCUGUAUUCUCCUUGGACAGUUGUUUUUCUGUGCGGGCCAUCCUAUCAGUGUGUCAUUGUUUGGUCAGCUGCGGUCUCUCUUUUGAUCUGCUCCAUUCUCUCAGAAGACACAGGAAGUGAUGCUAUGAUCAUGUCGACGUAGGCCUGAAUCUCAGUGUUUUUAUGUGUGUCUAUGCUCUCCUUCUUGUCGACUGCUCGAGAAAGAGUGUCGGUGGCGAACAUGAACUUUCCCGGGGUAUAGAUCAUCUUCACAUCAUACUUUUGCAGUCUGAUCAACAUUCUCUGGAUUCUCAUUGGACAAUCAUUCAGUGGCUUAGACAUGAUUUGUGGUCGGUUUGUACUUCGAAGUCUCGUCCGUAGACGUAUUGGUGAAACCUUUCGCAAGCGUAUGUGCUCGCCAGUAGUUCUUUCUCUAUUUGUGCAUACCUUGUCUCUGCGCCUGUCAAGGCUCUGGACGCAUAAGCGACGGGUUGCCAUGUGUCGUCAUGCUGUUGCAGAAGAACUGCUCCCAGGCCAAACUGUGACGCGUCUGCAGAAAUCGUUGUGCUUUUCUAAGGAUCAUAGAACCUGAGCACUGGCUCUUCUAUGAUUGUCUUCUUUAGGUUUUUGAAGCAGUUUUCCUGUUCAUGGGACCAUUCCCAUUCAUUUUUCUGUUCCAGAAGACAUCUGAGUGGAGCGGACUGUGCUGACAGUUGAGGUAUGAACUUUGCAAUGUAGGUGAUCAUGCCCAUGAAGCGUCUAACAUCAUCCUUGUUCUUCGGGCACUCCAUGUUGUUGAUGGCUGAUGUUUUCCUCGGGUCUGGUUUGACUCCAUCCUCUGAAAGUACGUCUCCCACGAAGGUGAAACCCCUGACAUAGAGGGCCCACAGGGGAAGAACAGUCACUAGCUCAGUAAUCCACAGAGCGCUUUGUACUACCACAAUGGCCAGGUCAUGGAAGCGGGAGGAGGAGACACUAAGAGCCAUUGUUGAGGAGGUGGAGGGAAGUGGUACCUAUCGCCCCCAGUCCCCCAGCCCCAUUCAGGAUGAGUUAAUCACGUUAUUAUACGAGGGACAUGUACAGCAGUGAAAAAGGUGACGGUGUCAGGGUGGGGAUGAGGCAGAGUGCUCCAGGGGGGCCUUUAUUGAUAUAGAUUUGCCUUUUAUUGAUAAGCAGGUCUUGUAUGUAUGUAUAGGAAGAUGGACUUACAUACAAAUACUUCAGAAUAGAUAUUUUGGAUCAGACAGUAUUUUCUUGUAAUAGUUCCAUUUCCAGAGUACUCUAGCAGUACCCAAGGGUGGUGGUGUUCUCUCUCUCUUUUUCUCCUCCUCCUCUUUCUCUCUCUCCCUCUCAGUGAUGGAGUGUGGGAUAAGGGCGGUAGCGGUCUCUUCCUCAGUGAUGUGGAUGCUGUCAGGGCAACAUACACAUAGCAGAGUGAAACACAUCUCAAGGGGAGGAGACCAGGAAGAGCUAUGUCUGGGCUAUUAGGAUAUCUGAGCUGCUCAUUCUUUCCACAGAAGACGUCCUCGCCUCUCCAAAGACUGCCUGUCGGAAAAGUGCAUUUCUGUGUAAAAGCCAGGAGGUGUGAGUGUGGAUGUUUUUUCUCUCUUCAUCCAUGCAGACUCGGCCGGCGGCUAUGGUACUGACAGAGAGCCAAAGUGAGCAUGUCUGAGAAUCUGUCGGCGUUAUGAUAUGGCAUGAAAAUAAACUGCCUGGCUGUCUUGUCUCUGGCUCACGUGUAACACACAAAAUAAAAUAAUGUUUCAUACUGCAAGG
RNAcentral lists this long non-coding RNA (6428 nucleotides) under Salmo salar (Atlantic salmon). Its description in RNAcentral is "lncRNA (ENSSSAG00000101154.1, ENSSSAG00000111127.1)". Lineage: Eukaryota; Metazoa; Chordata; Actinopteri; Salmoniformes; Salmonidae. The record is from RNAcentral.